This is a long non-coding RNA of Homo sapiens (human), 1620 nucleotides long. Ensembl annotates it as long intergenic non-protein coding RNA 2020. The record is from Ensembl. Lineage: Eukaryota; Metazoa; Chordata; Mammalia; Primates; Hominidae.
AUUGGCUGAAGCAUCAUUAUUUGGUGCAUGACUGUAGAACUUUAAGCAAUGAUGAAAAUGCUCUAUAUCCACACUAUCCAAUAUGGUUCUGCUUGAAUUCUUGCCCUGGCUCUUGGUGAAGGAUCGGCCUGCUGGAUCUGAGUCAUCCACCUAUAAGAGGGACAACACCACACAUUGGUCGCUGCUCUCAAGCCCCUGGAAUACCACCCCACUUGGCUUCUCCUGGUAACAGUGGCUGCCUUUGCUUGCCUGUCUCCAACUCCUCCCAAGAGCAUUGCUGACUAUACCACCCACAUAAACAAAAACUUUUUGGGAGUCCUCCAGAAUUUUUAAGAGUUAUCUAAACUAUUGCCUUUAAUGACCAGGAACUCCAAUUUGAGAAGUUACCCUACGUUAAGCCAACAGCAGCCUGGCUCCUUCAUCCUGUGCAGUAUGGGACAGAGCUGGGUCCUUGUUGUCAUCAGCCAGACAAGCACACAUUAAAGCCCACCUUAGCCAUUGGCAUUACAGCUUUAAAAGCAGCUCCAUCCUACCAUGCUGUCACUCUACUCAAUCACGUGAUCUUAACGACCAGCUCUACAUAUCCUCUCUCCAUGCCCCCACCACCAUCCCCCACCAACAAAUCCGGUAAUCUAUCUCUGUCAAUAGUCCUGCAGUGAAUUCCGAAUAAGUUUUUCUCUUCCCUGGCCUGCCGUUUACGUAGUACCCUGGAUGAAUCUAUACUUACUCCAUAGUAAGUAGUACCUUGGAUGAAUCUAUACUUGCAUCCAAUGGAAAUGAGAGUGAUGGUGCAGAGUUAUCCGAAGUAACUCCAGCUAUGUUGUGGAUCUUCUAAUCAUGGGCUCAUCUAAGCCUUCCCAGAUAUCACUCUAGUUUUUACAAUCUUUGUUUAUGACAAUUAGGGCUGUAACAUUGGCUGUAGACAUUUGUUGCAUCAAGGAACUCAGCUUCCACUGAAGUUCUGAAGUUAAUCAGUUUCUGAUCUUGUUCUGCAACUCUCUGCAAGAAGAAAAAUCACCAGGAAAUAGUGCAUCCUGAAAGGAGUCAAAGUUUCCUUAUCCAGCUGGAGCAGUGUGAUCUCGGACCAGAGUCAAUUCCUUGCCCAACAGACUUCACAUUGAGCCAUGAGAAGCAGCCUACUUACCCUUACCUGGACACUUCUCCAAAACCUGUGAAAUGGCCUCUGUCACUGCCUCAAAGCCUCAUCCUUGGUGGGCAACUCACCUGGAUCCUGAGACCAAAAUAUAGAGCUUAAUGAACUGCUCCUCUGCUGUAAACCUACUAUCUUUUCACACUAAGAUGUAGAUAUUCUCGCCUUGCUCUACCCAGUGAUUCUGCUAUCAGCUACAGGUCUGGGUUUGUGUCUCCGACAAAGAACCACCUCAAAGCCCCACAGAAAAGGACUGUACCGUAUACUUCAAACUAUUGACACCUCAAAGAACAGAGCUUGGGUUCAGGCUUCUGAUGCAUUCUGAGACACUCUCAGACCAUACCAGUGGGCUGGGUCAGGAUUUACAGAACUAUUUUCAUUUCAAGAGCAUACGGGCUCAUGAGAUUGCUAACUCAAGAUCCGGUGGAACAGAAAUACUUAUAUCGGACUGAAUAAACUGAUGAGGAAAA